RNAcentral lists this ribosomal RNA (483 nucleotides) under uncultured bacterium. RNAcentral describes it as "partial 16S ribosomal RNA". It matches the Rfam family "Bacterial small subunit ribosomal RNA", at positions 28 to 507 of the family's 1533-position model. The record is from RNAcentral.
GACGAACGCUGGCGGCGUGCUUAACACAUGCAAGUCGAACGCUGAAGCUCAGCUUUUGUUGGGUGGAUGAGUGGCGAACGGGUGAGUAACACGUGAGUAACCUGCCCCCUUCUUUGGGAUAACGCCCGGAAACGGGUGCUAAUACUGGAUAUUCACUGGUCUUCGCAUGGGGGUUGGUGGAAGGGGUUUUUCUGGUGGGGGAUGGGCUCGCGGCCUAUCAGCUUGGUGGUGGGGUGAUGGCCUACCAAGGCUUUGACGGGUAGCCGGCCUGAGAGGGUGACCGGGCACAUUGGGACUGAGAUACGGCCCAGACUACUACGGGAGGCAGAAGUGGGGAAUAUUGCACAAUGGGCGCAAGACUGAUGCAGCGACGCCGCGUGAGGGAUGGAGGCCUUCGGGUUGUGAACCUCUUUCGCUAAUGGUCAAGCCGCAACAAUGGUUGUGGUGAGGGUAGUGGGUAAAGAAGCGCCGGCUAACUACGUG